Molecule: ribosomal RNA, 943 nt
Filed under: uncultured bacterium
Lineage: Bacteria
Description: bacterial SSU rRNA
Rfam family: Bacterial small subunit ribosomal RNA
Source: RNAcentral
ACAUGCAAGUCGAGCGAGGUACUUGUACCUAGCGGCAGACGGGUGCGUAACAAGUGGGAAUCUGCCUUUUGGUUCGGAACAACAUGGGGAAACCUGUGCUAAUACCGGAUAAGUCCUUACGGAGAAAGAUUUAUCGCCGAAAGAUGAGCCCGCACUAGAUUAGCUUGUUGGUAAGGUAAAAGCUUACCAAGGCUACGAUCUAUAGCUGAUUUGAGAGGAUGAUCAGCCACACUGGGACUGAGACACGGCCCAGACUCCUACGGGAGGCAGCAGUGGGGAAUCUUGCACAAUGGAGGAAACUCUGAUGCAGCGAUGCCGCGUGAGUGAAGAAGGCCCUUGGGUUGUAAAGCUCUUUUGUCGGGAAAGAUAAUGACUGUACCCGAAGAAUAAGGUCCGGCUAACUUCGUGCCAGCAGCCGCGGUAAUACGAAGGGACCUAGCGUAAUUCGGAAUUACUGGGCGUAAAGCGCGCGUAGGCGGUUAAGUAAGUUAAUUGUGAAAGCCCAAAGCUCAACUUUGGAAUUGCAAUUAAAACUAUUUAGCUAGAGUUUAUCAGAGGAAAGCGGAAUACAUAGUGUAGAGGUGAAAUUCGUAGAUAUUAUGUAGAACACCAGUUGCGAAGGCGGCUUUCUGGGAUAACACUGACGCUGAGGUGCGAAAGUAUGGGUAGCGAAGAGGAUUAGAUACCCUCGUAGUCCAUACCGUAAACGAUGAUUGUUAGAUGUUGGAAAUUUAUUUUCAGUAUCACAGCUAACGCGUUAAACAAUCCGCCUGGGGAGUACGACCGCAAGGUUAAAACUCAAAUGAAUUGACGGGGACCCGCACAAGCGGUGGAGCAUGUGGUUUAAUUCGAAGCUACGCGCAGAACCUUACCAACACUUGACAUGUCUGUCGCGGAUUCCAGAGAUGGAUUCCUUCGGUUCGGCCGGACAGAACACAGGUGC